GGCCUUCCCUGUAGCUCAGUUGGUAGAGCAUGGUGUUUGCAACCAGGGUUGUGGGUUCGAUUCCCACGGGGGCCA
Molecule: non-coding RNA, 75 nt
Organism: Salmo salar (Atlantic salmon)
Lineage: Eukaryota; Metazoa; Chordata; Actinopteri; Salmoniformes; Salmonidae
Source: the annotation of a RefSeq genome assembly